RNAcentral lists this small nuclear RNA (109 nucleotides) under Neotoma lepida (desert woodrat). Lineage: Eukaryota; Metazoa; Chordata; Mammalia; Rodentia; Cricetidae. The record is from RNAcentral.
GUGUUCCUGCUUUGACAGCCCAUAUACUACANUUGGAAGGAGACAGUGAAGACCAGCAUGGCCCCAGGGCAAGGAUGACAUGUAAAUCUGUGACGUGUCUUAUGUUUUG